GUUUAUUAUGACUUAGUGGUUAUGGUGCGUUUCCCGGCUUUUUAUCUCUUUACGCAUGGUCUUGGGUUCGAACCUCGUUGAAAACA
Non-coding RNA from Mycena rebaudengoi, 86 nucleotides. Lineage: Eukaryota; Fungi; Basidiomycota; Agaricomycetes; Agaricales; Mycenaceae. The record is from the annotation of a GenBank genome assembly.